AUUGAACGCUGGCGGCAGGCCUAACACAUGCAAGUCGAACGGUAACAGGAAGCAGCUUGCUGCUUCGCUGACGAGUGGCGGACGGGUGAGUAAUGUCUGGGAAACUGCCUGAUGGAGGGGGAUAACUACUGGAAACGGUAGCUAAUACCGCAUAACGUCGCAAGACCAAAGAGGGGGACCUUAGGGCCUCUUGCCAUCGGAUGUGCCCAGAUGGGAUUAGCUAGUAGGUGGGGUAACGGCUAACCUAGGCGACGAUCCCUAGCUGGUCUGAGAGGAUGACCAGCCACACUGGAACUGAGACACGGUCCAGACUCCUACGGGAGGCAGCAGUGGGGAAUAUUGCACAAUGGGCGCAAGCCUGAUGCAGCCAUGCCGCGUGUAUGAAGAAGGCCUUCGGGUUGUAAAGUACUUUCAGCGGGGAGGAAGGGAGUAAAGUUAAUACCUUUGCUCAUUGACGUUACCCGCAGAAGAAGCACCGGCUAACUCCGUG
Molecule: ribosomal RNA, 490 nt
Filed under: uncultured bacterium
Lineage: Bacteria
Description: partial 16S ribosomal RNA
Rfam family: Bacterial small subunit ribosomal RNA
Source: RNAcentral